UACGAACUGUGCGAACGUUAUUCGGAAUCACUGGGCUUACAGGGUGCGUAGGCGGCUCAACAAGUCAGGUGUGAAAGCCCCCGGCUCAACCGUGGAACUGCGCUUGAAACUGUUGGGCUCGAGUCAGCUAGAGGUACACGGAACUUCCAGUGGAGCGGUGAAAUGUGUUGAUAUUGGAAGGAACACCGGAGGCGAAAGCGGUGUACUGGGGCUGGUCUGACGCUGAGGCACGAAAGCCAGGGGAGCGAACGGG
Molecule: ribosomal RNA, 253 nt
Filed under: uncultured bacterium
Lineage: Bacteria
Description: partial 16S ribosomal RNA
Rfam family: Bacterial small subunit ribosomal RNA
Source: RNAcentral